This 862-nucleotide ribosomal RNA is filed under the name uncultured Gammaproteobacteria bacterium. RNAcentral describes it as "bacterial SSU rRNA". It matches the Rfam family "Bacterial small subunit ribosomal RNA", at positions 35 to 888 of the family's 1533-position model. Lineage: Bacteria; Pseudomonadati; Pseudomonadota; Gammaproteobacteria. The record is from RNAcentral.
GCUGGCGGUAUGCUUAACACAUGCAAGUCGAACGGAAACGAUACUAGCUUGCUAGUAGGCGUCGAGUGGCGGACGGGUGAGUAACGCGUAGGAAUCUGCCUGAUAGUGGGGGAUAGCCCGGAGAAAUUCGGAUUAAUACCGCAUAAUCUAUUCGUAGUAAAGUGGGGGACUUUCGAGCCUCACGCUAUCAGAUGAGCCUGCGUAAGAUUAGCUUGUUGGUAGGGUAAAAGCCUACCAAGGCGACGAUCUUUAGCUGGUCUGAGAGGAUGAUCAGCCACAUCGGGACUGAGACACGGCCCGAACUCCUACGGGAGGCAGCAGUGGGGAAUAUUGGACAAUGGGGGCAACCCUGAUCCAGCAAUACCGCGUGUGUGAAGAAGGCCUGAGGGUUGUAAAGCACUUUCAAUUGUGAAGAAAAGUUAACGGUUAAUAACCGUUAGCCUUGACGUUAACUUUAGAAGAAGCACCGGCUAACUCCGUGCCAGCAGCCGCGGUAAUACGGAGGGUGCAAGCGUUAAUCGGAAUUACUGGGCGUAAAGCGUGCGUAGGCGGUUUAUUAAGUCAGAUGUGAAAGCCCCGGGCUUAACCUGGGAACUGCAUUUGAAACUGGUAAACUAGAGUAUGGUAGAGGAAAGUGGAAUUUCUGGUGUAGCGGUGAAAUGCGUAGAUAUCAGAAGGAACAUCAAUGGCGAAGGCAGCUUUCUGGACCAAUACUGACGCUGAGGUACGAAAGCGUGGGUAGCAAACAGGAUUAGAUACCCUGGUAGUCCACGCCGUAAACGAUGAUAACUAGCCGUUGGGGGGAUUUACCCUUUAGUGGCGAAGCUAACGCGUUAAGUUAUCCGCCUGGGGAGUACGGCCG